Molecule: ribosomal RNA, 442 nt
Filed under: uncultured bacterium
Lineage: Bacteria
Description: partial 16S ribosomal RNA
Rfam family: Bacterial small subunit ribosomal RNA
Source: RNAcentral
CCUACGGGAUGCAGCAGUGGGGAAUAUUGGGCAAUGGGCGCAAGCCUGACCCAGCAACGCCGCGUGAAGGAAGAAGGCUUUCGGGUUGUAAACUUCUUUUAAGAGGGAAGAGCAGAAGACGGUACCUCUUGAAUAAGCCCCGGCUAACUACGGGCCAGCAGCCGCGGGAAUACGGAGGUGGCCAGCGUUGUCCGGAUUUACUGGGUGUAAAGGGCGUGUAGCCGGGCUGACAAGUCAGAGGUGAAAUUCCGGGGCUCAACCCCGGACCUGCAUUUGAAACUGUUGGUCUUGAGUAUCGGAGAGGCAGGCGGAAUUCCUAGUGUAGCGGUGAAAUGCGUAGAUAUUAGGAGGAACACCAGUGGCGAAGGCGGCCUGCUGGACGACAACUGACGGUGAGGCGCGAAAGCGUGGGGAGCAAACAGGAUUAGAUACCCUUGUAGUC